Long non-coding RNA from Oncorhynchus tshawytscha (Chinook salmon), 1298 nucleotides. RefSeq lists it as uncharacterized. The transcript is spliced from 7 exons. Lineage: Eukaryota; Metazoa; Chordata; Actinopteri; Salmoniformes; Salmonidae. The record is from RefSeq and is a predicted model, not a curated record.
UGAAGGCCAGGUCAUUUGUUGCAGCACUCCAUCACUCUCCUUCUUGGUCAAAUAGCUCCAAUGCAGGAGAGUGCCCUGUGUUCACUGAUGAAGUUUGCCUCCACGGAAGGGAAGUUCCCCCUCCAUGACUUGGACUGGAGUGAACACUACAGCUUCCCAAGGAAACUCAUCCAGCUAAACACGAAGACUGGAAAGCAGCCAAACUAAAAGAAGACACGCGUGCCUUUGAGCGGUCGUAGCUUGGGUUUCUGAAGUAUAAGUUACCCAACAGCAUGUACAAGAAGGUGCUGGUGAUCCUCUGUGACUCCAUCCUGCCCCACAUAGCAAUCCCACACUGAUGAUCAACUUCCUGGCUGCAGCCUAUGAUGUUGGCGAGUUGGGUUUCCAUCGUCUGUUUUCAUAGACUGUUCUAUAGAAGACAAUCUCAGUGGAUGCUAUGCUGUACUGAAAGAGAGUAGACCUCUCUUUCAUGCUUACUCCAUUAACUAUCGAUGACUAGCAUUUCAUCCUCACAUUUGCUGUAAAUUUGUUUACAGUCAACAACACCUUUUGUCCAUUGUGUCUCAUCUUUCUCUCAAAGUCACCUGCCAGUCUACUUGGUAGCAGCGUUUGCCAAGGGUCUGUCCCACCUGGCCCUCAAGGACCUGCCUGCUGCCUUGCUCAUGGUACUGCCCUUCAUCUACAACCUGAUCCGCCUCCAUCCUGCCUGCCGAGUCCUCAUUCACCGCCCCAGUGCAGCAGGUGAAGCCUGUGUUGACCCCUACCUGAUGGAGGAGGAGGACCCCACCCAGUGCCAUGCCCUGGAAAGCAGCCUGUGAACUACAGAUUCUUCAAAAGCAUUGCCAGCCUGAUGUGGCCAAGGCUGCCAUGGCGAUCAACAAGCCCCUGUCACAGCAGGAGGAUGACAUCAGCGAGGUCCUGGAGUUAUCAACCUAUGAGCAGAUGGAGCAGGACCUGAAGCAGAGCAAGACUGUGCCACUGGAGUUUGACCCUGCCAUCAAGCUACUGCAGGGCACUGGAGGAGUGGGGGUACUGGGCCUGCACUUCUCUCUAGAGUAGAGACAACCAGCACCAGGACAUUCAUACACCCAGCUCUUUGGACCUCCCUCCAAUAUAUCCCCUUUAUAUUUCAGCUUCACAUUUUUCUCUUGUUUUCUGUUUGGAAUUCAUUGUACUUCAAUCAUGUGUGUUUCCCGAGUGGCGCAGUGGUGGUCUAAGGCACUGCAUCUCAGUGCUCGAGGCAUCACUACAGACCCUGGUUUGAUCCCAGGCUGUAUCACAACCGGCCGUGAUCGGGA